Molecule: small RNA, 344 nt
Filed under: Arabidopsis thaliana (thale cress)
Lineage: Eukaryota; Viridiplantae; Streptophyta; Magnoliopsida; Brassicales; Brassicaceae
Description: ATSL160540
Source: RNAcentral
AUAGGCAUCUCUUUUUUAGGCGUAAGUAGAUCAUCAGGGACAUCUGGAAACCGGUCUUCAUCAUCGUCGUCAUCAUCCGCCGGUUCGUCAGGGGUUGGAUUUUCUUCAUUUGGGCAUUCACCGGCGUCGUGACUCCACAUUCCACAGAGGGUAUAGAAAUUUCGCAGUUUUUCAUAACGGAACUUCAGGACGGUAGCCGCAUCUCCGAAUUGGAAAAUCCUUUGGAAACGGAGUGGGUUAUUGAUGUGCCAUAGAAGACGGACGCGGACAUAAUCCACCAAGACCGCACCUUCUCCAGCAAAGUCAGUUUCCAUGAAGUGUCCCAUGUUCUCUCCUAUUGAGAU